This 78-nucleotide transfer RNA is filed under the name Cystobacter ferrugineus. RNAcentral's name for it is "tRNA-Pro". Lineage: Bacteria; Pseudomonadati; Myxococcota; Myxococcia; Myxococcales; Archangiaceae. The record is from RNAcentral.
CGCUGAUAACCCCUGGACGGUCCCCGGCCUUGGUUCGGGACCAAGGGGUCGCAGGUUCGAAUCCUGUCUCCCCGACCA